This 684-nucleotide ribosomal RNA is filed under the name Triticum aestivum (bread wheat). RNAcentral's name for it is "partial small subunit ribosomal RNA". The record is from RNAcentral. Lineage: Eukaryota; Viridiplantae; Streptophyta; Magnoliopsida; Poales; Poaceae.
AUGGGAAUCACCGGAAGCUGGAACCAGCGCUCCCCGGUGUUGGAACCAGCGUUCCAUGGUGCUGGAACCAACGCACCAUUUUUUGCAUUUUUGCUACCACCGUUUUGUGGUUUGCUGCAACCAGUAUCAAUUUUUGCUACCAUCGCCUUUUUUAUUUUGCUGGAACCAUCGUUCAUCUUUGCAUUUUUUGCUACCACAUGUGUUUUUGUUUGUUGGAACAAUACCCAAUUUUUGCUAUCACCAGGUUUCUUCGGUUUGUUCGCAACGCCUGAAUUUCCCAACUUUGCUACCACCCGUUUUUUGGUCUUUUGCUGGAACCGUCGUGCUGUUUUGCUACGACAUGAAUCAUUUUUUGCUGCAUCCAGUAAAUCGAAGGCGAGGUACAAGAGCUCGACGAUGGGUGCUGUGGCCGGUGGUUGUCGCCACCGGAGCUGCAGCCAUCUCCACCGGAGUUGCAACGGCGGGGGUGCACCGUGCACUUUGUUGCAUGCUUGGAGCCAGCGAGGAAUGCAUGCGGCGACCAGCGGCGAGGGCGGCGACCGACGGCAAGGGCGGUGCUUCGAGGAUUGUUGCCUGGGGGUCACCCAUGGCGAUUGUUGGCGAUGGCCGCUGCUUUUUGCGUGUUCCCCUCUGCUUUUUGUUAGAUGCGAUUAUUUUAUAGAAAAAAAUGAUUCGGGAUUCUGA